This is a long non-coding RNA of Durio zibethinus, 570 nucleotides long. RefSeq lists it as uncharacterized. Lineage: Eukaryota; Viridiplantae; Streptophyta; Magnoliopsida; Malvales; Malvaceae. The record is from RefSeq and is a predicted model, not a curated record.
AAAGUCAAUUAAAUGUAAAAAUCCCCUUCCCUGAUUGAAAUUCCUAAUUCAUCAGUUUCUCUGUCCUUUUCUCUCUCCACUCCUCUCAUAUCUCCCUUCCUCUCCUUUCUCUGUUCCUCGUCGCCGACCCAUGAAGAGCCCUUGAGCCCGUGACCGCUCGCUCGUGAACCCACCUUAGCUUUUGUUAGUGUUGCUAGUUAUUUGUAACACUAAUAACCCAAGUAGAGGGGGUUUUGGACGUGGUUGCUAGCAGAAUGAUAGAGGUGCAGGCAUCCUUGGUUGUCUGGUAUCCUCUAUGGCAAGGUUUUAGCCAUGUGAACUUGCUUGCCAUAGCUGUGUGGAACGUGGAGAGGUCUACUUUGAUGAUCGCAGCUUGAGGCAUUUUAAGCGUCUUAUUACUGAAGAUAUUGAAGCUGAUCUCAAUCAAGGUUUUGAUACUUUCGUCGAGAAAAAAAAAAGGUAUGCUUUAUUUAUUGAAAAUUUGAAAUGUAAUAAUGUUGAGAUUGUACUGUGUUGCGGUGUAUACGUUAUAUUUAUGCAUAUGUUUGAGAUUUGUACAUGAGGUCUAAU